Molecule: ribosomal RNA, 1284 nt
Filed under: Acanthoscelides obtectus
Lineage: Eukaryota; Metazoa; Arthropoda; Insecta; Coleoptera; Chrysomelidae
Description: 16S ribosomal RNA
Rfam family: Archaeal large subunit ribosomal RNA (bases 1057-1216)
Source: RNAcentral
AUUUAUUUUUAUUAAAAAUUUAAGUAUUUUAAUUAAAAAAUUUAAAAUAAGUAAAUUUUUGUUUUAUUAUUUUUAAAGAAAAAAUUUUUUUUAUGAUAGUUUAAUAGUAUUGUGAAAGAAUAAAUAAUUUAGUUUUAAGAAAAAUUAAUUUUUUGUACCUUGUGUAUCAGGGUUUACUAAAUAAAAUAAUUAAUUAUUAUUGUUUCGAAUUUAAAAGAGUUAAAAAUUUAUUUUUUUUAUUGUUGUAUAAAUAUUAUUAAUAAAUUUUUGGUAAUAAAAUGUUAUUCGUUUUUAAAUAUAUCUAAUUUUUUAAGAAAAAAAUUUAAUUUUAAAUAUAAAUAAGUAAAAAUCUAAAUUAAUAGUAAUUUUUUAUUUUUUAUAUUUUAUAUUAUUAGGGAUAAGCUUAAUAAUAUAAUUUUAUUAUUUAAUAUGUAUUAAAAUUUAAUUUGUAAGAUUAAAAGUUUCUAUCAUAAUGAAAAUGUUAUAAUUUAUUUAUAAUUAAAUAUUAUUUGUAUAUUAUUUAUAAAUUUUUUAUUAAAAUAAUAAUUAAAAUUUUUAAAAUUAAGUAAUAAUGGUAAAAUUAGUAUAAUUUUAAUAUAAAUUUAUUUAAAAAAUUUAAGAUUAUUAUAAAGGAAUUCGGCAAAAUUAUUUUUUACCUGUUUAUUAAAAACAUGUCCUAUUGAUUUUAAUUUUAGGUCUAGCCUGCCCUCUGAGGAUUUAAAUGGCCGCGGUAUUUUGACCGUGCUAAGGUAGCAUAAUCAUUAGUUUCUUAAUUAGAAGCUGGAAUGAAUGGUUGGAUAAAAAAAUUUCUGUCUCUAUUUAAACAUUAAAAAUUUAUUUUUUAGUUAAAAAGCUAAAAUUAAUUUAAAAGACGAGAAGACCCUAUAGAGUUUCAUAUUUAAAAAUUUUAAUUUUUUUUUAGUAUAAAAAUUUUUAAUUUUUUUAAUUAUUUAAUUGGGGUGAUUGAAAAAUUAAUUGAACUUUUUUUAAAUUUAAAUCAUUAAUUUAUGUAUACUUGAGCUAUUAGUAAUAAUUGUAAGAUUUAAUUACCUUAGGGAUAACAGCGUAAUAUUAUCAAAGAGUUCUAAUCGAAGAUAAAGAUUGCGACCUCGAUGUUGGAUUAAAAUUAAUUUUUGGUGCAGAAGCUGGAAAUAUUAGGUCUGUUCGACCUUUAAAAUUUUACAUGAUCUGAGUUUAAACCGGUGUGAGCCAGGUUGGUUUCUAUCUUUAAUUUAAAUUUAAUAUUUUAGUACGAAAGGAUUGAAUAUUAAAAAUAAUUUUAUU